RNAcentral lists this transfer RNA (103 nucleotides) under Mnium marginatum. RNAcentral's name for it is "tRNA-Leu". The stretch from base 23 to 103 matches the Rfam family "tRNA". Rfam says of the family: Transfer RNA (tRNA) molecules are approximately 80 nucleotides in length. Lineage: Eukaryota; Viridiplantae; Streptophyta; Bryopsida; Bryales; Mniaceae. The record is from RNAcentral.
UAGAAUAAUUCUUUGUUUAUAGGCCUUGAUGGUGAAAUGGUAGACACAUAAGACUCAAAAUCUUAUGCUUUAAAGCGUGGAGGUUCGAAUCCUCUUCAAGGCA